Molecule: ribosomal RNA, 417 nt
Filed under: uncultured bacterium
Lineage: Bacteria
Description: bacterial SSU rRNA
Rfam family: Bacterial small subunit ribosomal RNA
Source: RNAcentral
UUAACCGGAUUAGAUACCCUGGUAGUCCACGCCGUAAACGAUGUCGACUUGGAGGUUGUGCCCUUGAGGCGUGGCUUCCGGAGCUAACGCGUUAAGUCGACCGCCUGGGGAGUACGGCCGCAAGGUUAAAACUCAAAUGAAUUGACGGGGGCCCGCACAAGCGGUGGAGCAUGUGGUUUAAUUCGAUGCAACGCGAAGAACCUUACCUGGUCUUGACAUCCACGGAAGUUUUCAGAGAUGAGAAUGUGCCUUCGGGAACCGUGAGACAGGUGCUGCAUGGCUGUCGUCAGCUCGUGUUGUGAAAUGUUGGGUUAAGUCCCGCAACGAGCGCAACCCUUAUCCUUUGUUGCCAGCGGUCCGGCCGGGAACUCAAAGGAGACUGCCAGUGAUAAACUGGAGGAAGGUGGGGAUGACGUA